CUAGGCUCGGGCUGGACCCUGAUGCGGUUCGAGUGCCCCAAGCACGCCCACUCGGCUGCUAUGGAUCACUCGUUGCCGCUCGUGCAUUCGGAUGCGGAACGCUAAGCGAUGCCGGGGCGCGCCCAGCAGCCCCCGCAUGACCCUAAACAACGAGCGAAACUUCGCUCCCCGAGAAUGACCACCGCGCGCGCUCGCUCUUCCAUCCAACCGUUCGCUCGGCGAUGGGAUCUA
This 231-nucleotide unclassified non-coding RNA is filed under the name Viola cassinensis. RNAcentral describes it as "Viola pseudogracilis subsp. cassinensis partial contains external transcribed spacer and 18S ribosomal RNA". Lineage: Eukaryota; Viridiplantae; Streptophyta; Magnoliopsida; Malpighiales; Violaceae. The record is from RNAcentral.